This 465-nucleotide ribosomal RNA is filed under the name uncultured bacterium. RNAcentral describes it as "bacterial SSU rRNA". It matches the Rfam family "Bacterial small subunit ribosomal RNA", at positions 338 to 795 of the family's 1533-position model. The record is from RNAcentral.
CCUACGGGAGGCAGCAGUGGGGAAUAUUGCACAAUGGGCGCAAGCCUGAUGCAGCCAUGCCGCGUGUAUGAAGAAGGCCUUCGGGUUGUAAAGUACUUUCAGCGAGGAGGAAGGCAUUAAGGUUAAUAACCUUAGUGAUUGACGUUACUCGCAGAAGAAGCACCGGCUAACUCCGUGCCAGCAGCCGCGGUAAUACGGAGGGUGCAAGCGUUAAUCGGAAUUACUGGGCGUAAAGCGCACGCAGGCGGUCUGUCAAGUCGGAUGUGAAAUCCCCGGGCCCAACCUGGGAACUGCAUUCGAAACUGGCAGGCUAGAGUCUUGUAGAGGGUGGUAGAAUUCCAGGUGUAGCGGUGAAAUGCGUAGAGAUCUGGAGGAAUACCGGUGGCGAAGGCGGCCCCCUGGACAAAGACUGACGCUCAGGUGCGAAAGCGUGGGGAGCAAACAGGAUUAGAUACCCGUGUAGUC